RNAcentral lists this ribosomal RNA (976 nucleotides) under uncultured Pseudomonadota bacterium. Its description in RNAcentral is "bacterial SSU rRNA". It matches the Rfam family "Bacterial small subunit ribosomal RNA", at positions 95 to 1063 of the family's 1533-position model. Lineage: Bacteria; Pseudomonadati; Pseudomonadota. The record is from RNAcentral.
GUGGCGAACGGGUGAGUAAUGCGUCGGAACGUACCGAGUAAUGGGGGAUAACGCACCGAAAGGUGUGCUAAUACCGCAUACGCCCUGAGGGGGAAAGUGGGGGAUCGCAAGACCUCACGUUAUUCGAGCGGCCGACGUCUGAUUAGCUUGUUGGUGAGGUAAUGGCUCACCAAGGCGACGAUCAGUAGCGGGUCUGAGAGGAUGAUCCGCCACACUGGGACUGAGACACGGCCCAGACUCCUACGGGAGGCAGCAGUGGGGAAUUUUGGACAAUGGGCGAAAGCCUGAUCCAGCCAUUCCGCGUGAGUGAAGAAGGCCUUCGGGUUGUAAAGCUCUUUCAGCGGGAACGAAACGGUACGCACUAACAUUGUGUGCUAAUGACGGUACCCGCAGAAGAAGCACCGGCUAACUACGUGCCAGCAGCCGCGGUAAUACGUAGGGUGCGAGCGUUAAUCGGAAUUACUGGGCGUAAAGCGUGCGCAGGCGGAUUGUUAAGCAAGACGUGAAAUCCCCGGGCUUAACCUGGGAAUGGCGUUUUGAACUGGCAGACUAGAGUGCGUCAGAGGGGGGUGGAAUUCCACGUGUAGCAGUGAAAUGCGUAGAUAUGUGGAGGAACACCAAUGGCGAAGGCAGCCCCCUGGGAUGACACUGACGCUCAUGUACGAAAGCGUGGGUAGCAAACAGGAUUAGAUACCCUGGUAGUCCACGCCCUAAACGAUGUCAACUGGUUGUUGGGAGAGUGAAAUCUCUUAGUAACGAAGCUAACGCGUGAAGUUGACCGCCUGGGGAGUACGGUCGCAAGAUUAAAACUCAAAGGAUUUGACGGGGACCCGCACAAGCGGUGGAUGAUGUGGAUUAAUUCGAUGCAACGCGAAAAACCUUACCUACCCUUGACAUGUCCAGAAUCCUGCAGAGAUGCGGGAGUGCCUCGAAAGGGAAUAGAACACAGGUGCUGCAAUGGCUGUCGUCAGCUCGU